Olea europaea var. sylvestris is the source of this 445-nucleotide long non-coding RNA. RefSeq lists it as uncharacterized. The record is from RefSeq and is a predicted model, not a curated record. Lineage: Eukaryota; Viridiplantae; Streptophyta; Magnoliopsida; Lamiales; Oleaceae. The transcript has 2 exons.
UACAUGACUUCUGCAAAAUUAAAACCCAAUCACCAAGUUGUGAGUCUUCUACCAAAUCAGAGUUGCUCCCAUAUCUCUAAACUCAAGAAUCCUAGUUUCAUCUCAAGAACCAUCUUCUCCAAGAUCUCUCAAACCCUAACAUCUUCAAUCCAUUUGUCCCAAAUCUCACACAAAGUCUCUAUAUUCCGAAAAUGCAAUUCUCCUUGGUAAAUAGCGGUAUGCCGAAUUAGAAUGUCCAUCCACUCUUAGCGGGUUUUGGAAAAGACUAGUCUUCUGAUGAUUAAAUCUUUCAAUCAAUUUUUUUCAAAGAAUCUGUGGAUCUUUCUUAGGGAGAUUCAAUUUUUAAUCCAUUAUGAAGAUUAUGACGAAAGAAGAUAAGUACUCCAAGAUGCUUUGAGAUAAGAUGAAUAUUUAUAUUGAGGCAUGACAGAUAAUUUUUGUCAGA